GCCGAACGCUGGCGGCGUGCUUAACACAUGCAAGUCACGAGGGCCCGCAAGGGCAACCGGCGAACGGGUGCGUAACACGUGAGCAACCUGCCGAUUCGUGGGGGAUAGCCGGCCCAACGGCCGGGUAAUACCGCAUACGCUCACUGGGGGGAGUCCCCUGGUGAGGAAACCUCCGGGGCAAAUCGAGGGGCUUGCGUCCUAUCAGCUAGUUGGCGGGGUAACGGCCCACCAAGGCGACGACGGGUAGCUGGUCUGAGAGGAUGGCCAGCCACAUUGUGACUGAGAAACGGCCCAGACUCCUACGGGAGGCAGCAGUGGGGAAUCUUGCGCAAUGGCCGAAAGGCUGACGCAGCGACGCCGCGUGCGGGAGGAAGCUCUUCGGGGUGUAAACCGCUGUUGCCCGGAACGAAACUCCAGAUUCGUCUGGAUUGACGGUACCGGGUGAGGAAGCGCCGGCUAACCCUGUGCCAGCAGCCGCGGUAAUACAGAGGGCGCGAGCGUGUCGGA
This 507-nucleotide ribosomal RNA is filed under the name uncultured bacterium. Its description in RNAcentral is "bacterial SSU rRNA". It matches the Rfam family "Bacterial small subunit ribosomal RNA", at positions 33 to 541 of the family's 1533-position model. The record is from RNAcentral.